AAAGAAAUACAACUCAUCUUAAUUGGGUGAAAAAGAGGAAGAAAAACAUUAAGAAGCUUUGAUUUAUCCUCUAGGUACACACCUCUAUCUUUUCAGCUCCAUCUUCUUCCUUGUCCUCUACCUCAAGUCAUCUCCCUUUUCUAGGAAUUCAAAAGGGAGAUAUCUUGAUGGUAUGAUUGAGGAGAAGAUAUCCUAUAUUCAAAAGGGAAGAUAUCCUGAUUACCUCGAGAUUCUCCCCAGAUUCAGGUAACCAGAUUUUAUAGAUGUAUCAGAAUUUGAAUUCCACCAUCCCUAGAAGAAUCAGGAUUCAACUCCUAUCAAUAGGGGAGUAAGCCAAACCCUAAAGGUCCAACCUUCAGUGCUAUUCUGUUUUGCAGGUCUCGUCGAUCCCUGUAUUCUAGAAGAUUGGUGCGAGUUUGGCGGAAUCCCAAAAAGCCAAAUUUUUACAUCAACACUUACCUUGAUUAUUGACCAAGGGUGUGGGAUGUGCUCCAAAUGUUCAAAGGGUGGCCUUAUUAAUGUCGUGGAAAUUCCAAAAAAAUUA
Non-coding RNA from Momordica charantia (bitter melon), 544 nucleotides. The record is from RefSeq and is a predicted model, not a curated record. NCBI's taxonomy places the organism in Eukaryota, Viridiplantae, Streptophyta, Magnoliopsida, Cucurbitales, Cucurbitaceae.